AGAGUUUGAUCAUGGCUCAGGACGAACGCUUGCGGCGUGCCUAAGAAAUGCAAGUCGAACGGAGGUAGCAAUACCUUAGUGGCGAACGGUCGCGUAACACGUAAGCAACCUGCCCCGAAGCGGGGGACAACAGCCUGAAAGGGCUGCUAAUACCGCAUGUGGUUGUUGGGAGGCAUCUUCCAACAUCUAAAGAUUGAUCACUUCGGGAUGGGCUUGCGGCCUAUCAGGUGGUUGGUGGGGUAACGGCCUACCAAGCCUUUGACGGGUAGCUGGUCUGAGAGGAUGUCCAGCCGGAUUGGGACUGAGAUACGGCCCAGACUCCUACGGGGGGCAGCAAUUAGGAAUCUUGCGCAAUGGACGAAAGUCUGACGCAGCGACGCCGCGUGCGGGAGGAAGGGUUUCGGCCUGUAAACCGCUUUUGACGGGGAAGAAGAAUGUGACGGUACCCGUCGAAUAAGCCCCGGCUAACUACGUGCCAGCAGCCGCGGUAAUUC
RNAcentral lists this ribosomal RNA (494 nucleotides) under uncultured bacterium. RNAcentral describes it as "bacterial SSU rRNA". It matches the Rfam family "Bacterial small subunit ribosomal RNA", at positions 8 to 526 of the family's 1533-position model. The record is from RNAcentral.